AGGGGGGUUUAAUCUGGACUGAGCUGGAGGAAAGGAAUAGGUGCCAGAGUAGAGGCUGGAAGGAUGGUGGAACUGGCACUGGGCCGGAACACAGUAAAUGGAAUCUAAUGCUAUUGCUCUGGCCAUAGCAAAUAAAAGUGUCAAAUUUGAGUACCCUUACCUUGUGCUGAAUCAUAGAGGAAACCUUUCCGUUUUUCUCCAUUGAUUAUGAUGUUAGCAGUGAGCUUUUCACAUAUAGGCUUUAUUGCAUUGAGGCUGGAGUGCAGUGGCACGAUCUCAGAUCACUGCAACCUCCGCCUCCUGGCUUCAAGCAAUUUUCCUGCCUCAGCCUUCCGAGUAGCUGGGACUACAGGCACGUGCCACUACACCCAGCUAAGUUUUUAUAUUUUAGUAGAGACAGGGUUUCACUAUGUUGGCCAGGGUGGUCUUGAUCUCUUGACCUCGUGAUCCGCCCACCUCGGCCUCCCAAAGUGCUGGGACUACAGGCAUGAGCCACUGCGCCUGGCCU
Callithrix jacchus (white-tufted-ear marmoset) is the source of this 508-nucleotide non-coding RNA. NCBI's taxonomy places the organism in Eukaryota, Metazoa, Chordata, Mammalia, Primates, Cebidae. The record is from RefSeq and is a predicted model, not a curated record.